Molecule: long non-coding RNA, 616 nt
Filed under: Lepisosteus oculatus (spotted gar)
Lineage: Eukaryota; Metazoa; Chordata; Actinopteri; Semionotiformes; Lepisosteidae
Description: lncRNA (ENSLOCG00000021791.1)
Source: RNAcentral
AAAAGGAUGUCCAAUUCUUCAUUCUGUGGUUAUUGGCAUGUCCUGUGGUCCUCGGUCUGGAAGCACAGUCGAGCCACAGGCACAAACUGCUCUAUUUAAUACACUCAGGUCCCUGAACAAGCUGAUAACUGACCCUCCUGUCUGUGCCAACGUUGACCUUCCUGUAGCUCACGAGAGUUCAGUGUGAGCCUUCAAUCUGAGAUUAAACACGUGCAUGUUUAGAAAUUGUGUGCGUGUGUGUGCGCAUCGUUUGUGAGUCGACACAGAUUGCGUCAGAGCUUUUGGGGGGUACUCGGGGUUAAUUAGUUGUAUGGUGCACUUUGCAGGCUUCUCCAGAUCGGUUUAGCACAGUACUGUCGGCCAGCCUGACCUGCACCCAGGGGAGAACAGUGUCUCUGGAGCUGCUCGGUCCUGGAUUUUUCCUCAGCUGGAAAUUUCACCGUUGCUGGAAACCCCACAGGUCGCCUCUCCAACGACUGAACUUCCACCAGAAGCAGGAGGGGGCGAGGAGCCGGGCCCCGCCGGCCGGACCGAACAGGGACUGCGGCCCCCUGGACCGGACCGGAUCGGUUCCAUCAGAGAUGUCAUUCUCCAGGAUUUUAUUGGAAUAAACGGG